UUCCGGGGCCAGAUCGUCGCUCCGGGGUUCUUUGUAUCCCAAGGCGCGGGUAAUGCCGCGUCCGAUAAGAGUCAUUCCCCGGAGAGGAAAGUCCGGACACCACAGGGCAGGAUGCCGUGCGAGCUUCACCGCAAGCAUGGGAGGCGUGCGUCAAGGCACGUCGACGGCCAGUGUCACAGAGAAUAUACCGCCCGGCGGCUUGCCGUCGGGUAAGGGUGAAAAGGUGGGGUAAGAGCCCACCGCGUCGCGCAGCAAUGCCGGCGGCAUGAUAAACCCCUUCCGGUGCAAGGCAAAAUAGGCGGCUGACCGGCCCGGUUGUAAGCCGCGGGUAUGUCGCACCCACCUACGCCUCGGCGCUUUGGCGCCGGAGCUGCGGCGGGCGGGUUCCUCUGGCAACGGAGGGGCUCGAGAUAAAUGACGAUCACGGGAUCGCUUCGGCGGUGCCGCACAGAAUCCGGCUUAUCGGCCCCGGAACCAA
This 478-nucleotide RNase P RNA is filed under the name Actomonas aquatica. RNAcentral's name for it is "Opitutus sp. WL0086 RNase P RNA component class A". It matches the Rfam family "Bacterial RNase P class A". Rfam says of the family: Ribonuclease P (RNase P) is a ubiquitous endoribonuclease, found in archaea, bacteria and eukarya as well as chloroplasts and mitochondria. Lineage: Bacteria; Pseudomonadati; Verrucomicrobiota; Opitutia; Opitutales; Opitutaceae. The record is from RNAcentral.